CACACGAAAAAUGACAUGUAUCCACCUCUGUUGAUUCUCCCCGCGCGCGAUGCACCAAGGCCUCUCCAUUAAUACAAGUUCUAUGCAUCUUAAGCACGAUCUUGAGACGUCAAUGCUGUUAUUUCAUUAGUUAAACUUGAAGAGUAAAAGUCUGGCAAAUUUUCUACAACCGACAAUUGAACUUCCUCGAUUAUAUCUGUCGCUUCUGUACACAACUUGGAUUUGACCAUCUUGAAGAACGUACACGGUCUUGUUCCCUUGCCGAACUCGUCAACGUCGUAUGGUGGA
This is a long non-coding RNA of Monomorium pharaonis (pharaoh ant), 288 nucleotides long. RefSeq lists it as uncharacterized. The record is from RefSeq and is a predicted model, not a curated record. Lineage: Eukaryota; Metazoa; Arthropoda; Insecta; Hymenoptera; Formicidae. The transcript is spliced from 2 exons.